Molecule: ribosomal RNA, 1447 nt
Filed under: uncultured bacterium
Lineage: Bacteria
Description: bacterial SSU rRNA
Rfam family: Bacterial small subunit ribosomal RNA
Source: RNAcentral
AGAGUUUGAUCCUGGCUCAGAACGUACGCUGGCGGCACGCCUAAUACAUGCAAGUCGAACGAAGUAGCAAUACUUAGUGGCAGACGGGUGAGUAACAUGUGGGUAUCUUCCCUUUGGUGAGGAAUAACACGAGGAAACUUGUGCUAAUACCUCAUAAGUCUUUACGGAGAGAGCUUUAUGCGCCAUUGGAUGAGCCUGCACUUGAUUAGUUUGUUGGUGGGGUAAUGGCUUACCAAGACAAUGAUCAAUAGCUGAUUUGAGAGGAUGAUCAGCCACAUUGGGACUGAGACACGGCCCAAACUCCUACGGGAGGCAGCAGUAGGGAAUCUUGCACAAUGGGGGAAACCCUGAUGCAGCGAUGCCGCGUGAGUGAAGAAGGCCUUUGGGUUGUAAAGCUCUUUCGUCGGGGAAGAAAAUGACUGUACCCGAAUAAGAAGGUCCGGCUAACUUCGUGCCAGCAGCCGCAGUAAUACGAAGGGACCUAGCGUAGUUCGGAAUUACUGGGCUUAAAGAGCACGUAGGUGGUUAAAAAAGUUGGUGGUGAAAUCCCAAGGCUUAACCUUGGAACUGCCAUCAAAACUUUUUAGCUAGAGUGUGAUAGAGGGAAGCGGAAUUUCUAGUGUAGAGGUGAAAUUCGUAGAUAUUAGAAAGAACACCAAUUGCGAAGGCAGCUUUCUGGAUCACUACUGACACUGAGGUGCGAGAGCAUGGGUAGCGAAGAGGAUUAGAUACCCUCGUAGUCCAUGCCGUAAACGAUGUGUGCUAGACGUUGGAAAUUUUAUUUUCAGUGUCGCAGCAAAAGCAUUAAGCACACCGCCUGGGGAGUACGACCGCAAGGUUAAAACUCAAAUGAAUUGACGGGGACCCGCACAAGUAGUGGAGCAUGUGGUUUAAUUCGAAGAUACGCGCAGAACCUUACCAACACUUGACAUGUUCGUCGCGACUCUAAGAGAUUAGAGUUUUCGGUUCGGCCGGACGAAACACAGGUGCUGCAUGGCUGUCGUCAGCUCGUGUCGUGAGAUGUUGGGUUAAGUCCCGCAACGAGCGCAACCCUUACUUUUAGUUGCCAUCGUUAAGUUGGGCACUCUGAAAGAACUGCCGGUGAUAAGCUGGAGGAAGGUGGGGAUGACGUCAAGUCCUCAUGGCCCUUACGUGUUGGGCUACACACGUGCUACAAUGGCACUUACAAUAGGAAGCUAAGAGGCGACUCUACGCAAAUCCUAAAAAGGUGCCUCAGUUCGGAUUGUACUCUGCAACUCGAGUGCAUGAAGCUGGAAUUACUAGUAAUCGCGGAUCAGCGCGCCGCGGUGAAUACGUUCCCGGGUCUUGUACACACCGCCCGUCACACCAUGGAAGUUGGUUUCACCUUAAGGCAAAUAGUAAACCUUCGGGAUACAUUUGACUACGGUAUGAUCAGCAACUGGGGUGAAGUCGUAACAAGGUAACC